Non-coding RNA from Tenacibaculum mesophilum, 33 nucleotides. NCBI's taxonomy places the organism in Bacteria, Pseudomonadati, Bacteroidota, Flavobacteriia, Flavobacteriales, Flavobacteriaceae. The record is from Rfam.
ACUGCGGAAGCCGAAAAGCAUAUAGAGUAAGCA